AGGGUUUGAUCAUGGCUCAGAACGUACGCUGGCGGCACGCCUAACACAUGCAAGUCGAACGAAGUAGCAAUACUUAGUGGCAGACGGGUGAGUAACAUGUAGGUAUCUGCCCUUUGGCCUGGAAUAACACGAGGAAACUUGUGCUAAUACCGGAUAAGUCUUUACGGAGAAAGCUUUAUGCACCAUUGGAUGAGCCUGCACUUGAUUAGUUUGUUGGUGGGGUAAUGGCCUACCAAGACUGUGAUCAAUAGCUGAUUUGAGAGGAUGAUCAGCCACAUUGGGACUGAGACACGGCCCAAACUCCUACGGGAGGCAGCAGUGGGGAAUCUUGCACAAUGGAGGAAACUCUGAUGCAGCGAUGCCGCGUGAGUGAAGAAGGCCCUUGGGUUGUAAAGCUCUUUCGUCGGGGAAGAAAAUGACUGUACCCGAAUAAGAAGGUCCGGCUAACUUCGUGCCAGCAGCCGCGGUAAUACGAAGGGACCUAGCGUAGUUCGGAAUUACUGGGCUUAAAGAGUUCGUAGGUGGUUGAAAAAGUUGGUGGUGAAAUCCCAGAGCUUAACUCUGGAACUGCCAUCAAAACUUUUCAGCUAGAGUAUGAUAGAGGAAAGCAGAAUUUCUAGUGUAGAGGUGAAAUUCGUAGAUAUUAGAAAGAAUACCAAUUGCGAAGGCAGCUUUCUGGAUCAUUACUGACACUGAGGAACGAAAGCAUGGGUAGCGAAGAGGAUUAGAUACCCUCGUAGUCCAUGCCGUAAACGAUGUGUGUUAGACGUUGGAAAUUUAUUUUCAGUGUCGCAGCGAAAGCGAUAAACACACCGCCUGGGGAGUACGACCGCAAGGUUAAAACUCAAAUGAAUUGACGGGGACCCGCACAAGUAGUGGAGCAUGUGGUUUAAUUCGAAGAUACGCGCAGAACCUUACCAACACUUGACAUGUUCGUCGCGACUCUAAGAGAUUAGAGUUUUCGGUUCGGCCGGACGAAACACAGGUGCUGCAUGGCUGUCGUCAGCUCGUGUCGUGAGAUGUUGGGUUAAGUCCCGCAACGAGCGCAACCCUCACUUUUAGUUGCCAUCAUUAAGUUGGGCACUCUGAAAGAACUGCCAGUGAUAAGCUGGAGGAAGGUGGGGAUGACGUCAAGUCCUCAUGGCCCUUACGUGUUGGGCUACACACGUGCUACAAUGGUAUCUACAACAGGAAGCAAAACGGCAACGUUAAGCAAAUCCCGAAAAGAUACCUCAGUUCGGAUUGCACUCUGCAACUCGAGUGCAUGAAGCUGGAAUUACUAGUAAUCGUGGAUCAGCGUGCCACGGUGAAUGCGUUCCCGGGUCUUGUACACACCGCCCGUCACACCAUGGGAGUUGGUUCUACCUUAAGGCAAGGUUUUAAACCCUUGACCACGGUAUAGUCAGCGACUGGGGUGAAGUCGUAACAAGGUAGCCGUA
Molecule: ribosomal RNA, 1439 nt
Filed under: uncultured bacterium
Lineage: Bacteria
Description: bacterial SSU rRNA
Rfam family: Bacterial small subunit ribosomal RNA
Source: RNAcentral